GCCCCUUUAGCUCAGUUGGUAGAGCGCGCCACUCGUAUACUCUAGAGCACAAUGCCUUACGUAACAAUGCUUACGUAAUGGUGAGGUCGGUUGUUCAAAUCAGCCAAGAGGCA
Molecule: non-coding RNA, 113 nt
Organism: Fomitopsis serialis
Lineage: Eukaryota; Fungi; Basidiomycota; Agaricomycetes; Polyporales; Fomitopsidaceae
Source: the annotation of a RefSeq genome assembly